GACGAACGCUGGCGGCGUGCUUAACACAUGCAAGUCGAACGAUGAAAGCGGGAGCUUGCUCCUGCUGGAUUAGUGGCGAACGGGUGAGUAACACGUGAGCAAUCUGCCCCGAACUCUGGGAUAAGCGUUGGAAACGACGUCUAAUACCGGAUACGACGCGCGAAGGCAUCUUCUGCGCGUGGAAAGAAUUUCGGUUCGGGAUGAGCUCGCGGCCUAUCAGCUAGUUGGUGAGGUAAUGGCUCACCAAGGCGACGACGGGUAGCCGGCCUGAGAGGGUGACCGGCCACACUGGGACUGAGACACGGCCCAGACUCCUACGGGAGGCAGCAGUGGGGAAUAUUGCACAAUGGGCGCAAGCCUGAUGCAGCAACGCCGCGUGAGGGACGACGGCCUCGG
Molecule: ribosomal RNA, 396 nt
Filed under: uncultured bacterium
Lineage: Bacteria
Description: bacterial SSU rRNA
Rfam family: Bacterial small subunit ribosomal RNA
Source: RNAcentral